ACACUACUCAUUUUUUUACUCUCUCCUAGAGUCUUUAUCCUCCCCCCUCUUUAUGGAUUACUUCUUUGUUAUUGGAAUGAGGUAUGAUAUCAGAUAGAUAAAUCUCAAUGCAGAAGUCCAUUUUUAGCAUACAUCCAAUAAAUGUCACUCUUUUCUCCAACAAGUGAACAGGAAAUGGGCUUUCCUUUGCCUCAGCACAUUCAAGA
RNAcentral lists this long non-coding RNA (206 nucleotides) under Pan troglodytes (chimpanzee). RNAcentral describes it as "long non-coding RNA NONPTRT003506". The record is from RNAcentral. Lineage: Eukaryota; Metazoa; Chordata; Mammalia; Primates; Hominidae.